GCUGGGGGGGGGCCUGCUAUACAUGCAGUCGAACGAGUUCUGAUUAUUGAAAGGUGCUUGCAUCUUGAUUUAAUUUUGAACGAGUGGCGGACGGGUGAGUAACACGUGGGUAACCUGCCCUUAAGUGGGGGAUAACAUUUGGAAACAGAUGCUAAUACCGCAUAAAUCCAAGAACCGCAUGGUUCUUGGCUGAAAGAUGGCGUAAGCUAUCGCUUUUGGAUGGACCCGCGGCGUAUUAGCUAGUUGGUGAGGUAACGGCUCACCAAGGCAAUGAUACGUAGCCGAACUGAGAGGUUGAUCGGCCACAUUGGGACUGAGACACGGCCCAAACUCCUACGGGAGGCAGCAGUAGGGAAUCUUCCACAAUGGACGCAAGUCUGAUGGAGCAACGCCGCGUGAGUGAAGAAGGCUUUCGGGUCGUAAAACUCUGUUGUUGGAGAAGAAUGGUCGGCAGAGUAACUGUUGUCGGCGUGACGGUAUCCAACCAGAAAGCCACGGCUAACUACGUGCCAGCAGCCGCGGUAAUACGUAGGUGGCAAGCGUUAUCCGGAUUUAUUGGGCGUAAAGCGAGCGCAGGCGGUUUUUUAAGUCUGAUGUGAAAGCCCUCGGCUUAACCGAGGAAGUGCAUCGGAAACUGGGAAACUUGAGUGCAGAAGAGGACAGUGGAACUCCAUGUGUAGCGGUGAAAUGCGUAGAUAUAUGGAAGAACACCAGUGGCGAAGGCGGCUGUCUGGUCUGUAACUGACGCUGAGGCUCGAAAGCAUGGGUAGCGAACAGGAUUAGAUACCCUGGUAGUCCAUGCCGUAAACGAUGAAUGCUAGGUGUUGGAGGGUUUCCGCCCUUCAGUGCCGCAGCUAACGCAUUAAGCAUUCCGCCUGGGGAGUACGACCGCAAGGUUGAAACUCAAAGGAAUUGACGGGGGCCCGCACAAGCGGUGGAGCAUGUGGUUUAAUUCGAAGCAACGCGAAGAACCUUACCAGGUCUUGACAUCUUUUGAUCACCUGAGAGAUCAGGUUUCCCCUUCGGGGGCAAAAUGACAGGUGGUGCAUGGUUGUCGUCAGCUCGUGUCGUGAGAUGUUGGGUUAAGUCCCGCAACGAGCGCAACCCUUAUGACUAGUUGCCAGCAUUUAGUUGGGCACUCUAGUAAGACUGCCGGUGACAAACCGGAGGAAGGUGGGGAUGACGUCAAAUCAUCAUGCCCCUUAUGACCUGGGCUACACACGUGCUACAAUGGAUGGUACAACGAGUUGCGAGACCGCGAGGUCAAGCUAAUCUCUUAAAGCCAUUCUCAGUUCGGACUGUAGGCUGCAACUCGCCUACACGAAGUCGGAAUCGCUAGUAAUCGCGGAUCAGCACGCCGCGGUGAAUACGUUCCCGGGCCUUGUACACACCGCCCGUCACACCAUGAGAGUUUGUAACACCCGAAGCCGGUGGCGUAACCCUUUUAGGGAGCGAGCCGUCUAAGGUGGUCAACUG
This 1476-nucleotide ribosomal RNA is filed under the name Lacticaseibacillus rhamnosus. RNAcentral's name for it is "bacterial SSU rRNA". It matches the Rfam family "Bacterial small subunit ribosomal RNA". The record is from RNAcentral. Lineage: Bacteria; Bacillati; Bacillota; Bacilli; Lactobacillales; Lactobacillaceae.